This 236-nucleotide ribosomal RNA is filed under the name uncultured bacterium. RNAcentral describes it as "partial 16S ribosomal RNA". It matches the Rfam family "Bacterial small subunit ribosomal RNA", at positions 118 to 353 of the family's 1533-position model. The record is from RNAcentral.
UGAGCAAUCUGCCCUUCUCUUCGGAAUAAGCGUUGGAAACGACGUCUAAUGCCGAAUACGACCUCCUUUCGCAUGAUCGGAGGUGGAAAGCUCCGGCGGAGAAGGAUGAGCUCGCGGCCUAUCAGCUAGUUGGUGUGGGUAAUGGCCACCAAGGCGACGACGGGUAGCCGGCCUGAGAGGGUGACCGGCCACACUGGGACUGAGACACGGCCCAGACCUCCGUACGGGAGGNAGCG